GUUCCUCUGAAUGAUCAGUCAGUCCUCUUAACUGCUGAGCCAUCUCUCAGCUGUUGAAGUAUUUUAGUGUUUAAAUCUUAAGAAAAAGCAUGGCAUCCAUGGGGGUAGACUGCUACUCCCUCUUUGAGAGUCUCAGUAGAGACCUGGAGGGGAUGUCUUCUGGAACUUUCAUUAUCUUUCCAGUAAAAUCCUCUGGGUUCAGGAAGGACUAAUAAAUUAAGAGGGCAAGACACUAAUUGUAGUCGAGACUUUUCCUUUAACUUGUUAUGUGAGCCUUGGGCAAGUUGCUUACCUUCUGACCCUCAGUUAUUACUUCUAAAAAUGUCUUGAAAAGAUAACCCUAAAGGGCUUCUCCAUCUGACACUGAGUUCCAUUACAGUACCGGCCACAAUUACAGAUCUCCCCAAAGCAGGACCUCCUGCUCCCACUGGCUGGGCACACAGCCGUCUCCACUCUACUUUGGAAGCAGUCUUUCAAGAAUGUAGUCAGAUAGCAAUUUUUAAAGUAGCCUUGAAUUGCCUUCCUAUGGAGUUUCACCCUUUUGACAUCCCCGUGACCUCCUUGGGUGUCUCUGAAUGAUUGACGAGGAACUUGUUUCCAUGGUGAUCACACCCAUGGUGCCUAGCAGCUGGAGAGCUUAGCCCGAACCUGACACAGCUUCCUAUCUUGGGCUGGGCAUCCACUUAACCGAAGCAUCCAAGAACAAGACUUGACAGUUAUGUGCUUUAGGUCCUGGAAGGGAUUCCAGAAUAGAGGGGGUGGGAGCAUGGUGAAAACACUCAUCUUGGCUCUUAUUUUUUUUUGCCAGGGGUUGAAGUCUCAAGAAAUAUGACCUACCCAAGAAGGACCAUUCACAGUGAAGGAGUCAUGAGGGGAUCUUGAAUACCAGAUGAACUACUUCCCGCUCAAGAAACAGAAGAGAGUGGCAGAAGCAUCUCUUCACGUAUCUAAACCUCUCCUACACUGAAGCUCAAAGUUCUGAAGUUUCACGCAAAGAGCAGUUCAGGCUCUGCCUUCCCUAAUUAUGGCCCAUUAGGGCCCCAGAUCCCUCCCGUCUGCUGGAUGCUAUUUAAAAUUCUCCCUGGCAGUAGCCUUCGCCAAGGACACAGGCUACUGCACUCCAUCCUGUUGAUGAUGUUUACGUUGAGAAAGCAGAUAAUCCUCGCUGCAGUGACAUGUUGAUUGAGGCAAGUAAAAAGCCGAGUAGGGUUUUAGAAUUCUAA
Molecule: long non-coding RNA, 1223 nt
Organism: Peromyscus leucopus (white-footed mouse)
Lineage: Eukaryota; Metazoa; Chordata; Mammalia; Rodentia; Cricetidae
Exons: 2
Source: RefSeq, a predicted model, not a curated record